AGUGAGGUUGGGAGGAAACUCAAGUCUCGGAUCUCAUCUCCUGUUCUGAUCCCUCUAAAGUCUUUUCCUGCCACAUCCAAUCUGACUGAGGAGUCUUAUAAACUACAGAUGCAUUCAUGGAGCAUUUGCUAUGGGGCAGGAAAAGGGAAAUGAUCCCUCCCCAUGGAAUGAUCUCUGGGAGGGAAGGUGGAAGGGAGGCUGGGUUACACAACAGGGAAAAAUCUUGCUGUCAGUACGUUCUUAUUGGGAGUUAUUUUGGUUUCUGGUUUUCAAACUGCUGUGCAAAGUUAGCUACUGACAGUCUGGAUUGCUGUUUGUUGAUGCAAGGGGAUCAUAAGCCCAACCAAGGUUUCUCCAAACCAGCUCCUUGGGAUUGUUUAACAGAAAAAUAAAGAAAAAAUGCCAUUGAUAUCUUCUCUCUCCAAAGCUUUGGGUGUCUCUCCAGUUAUCAUUUUGGAAAUGAUUCUGAUCCAGUAUUUCAUAAGAAAAAUCUAAAUGAAGCAUGUGAAAAUAAUUUUUUUGUGGGCCACAGGAGAGAUGGCAUUAGAUGCUACAGAUGGAAAUGCUGGCUCAAAGGAACUGAGUUUUAGAAUGAACAGGACCCUUUUUGACCGUUGUAGACACAGGAUCUCCCCACAGGUCAGAAUGGGGAAAAGACAGUUCAUCCUCUUAAUUGGCAUGUAAAGAGGGCAUCAGGAUGCUUAAAGAAUGACUCUACAAAUCCCAGGAUUCUAAGCCUUAAAAAUCUAGGAGAUGUCUUUGGUUGAGAAUUUGGUUAGCUUUGGAAAGAUGUAGUGGGAGAGUUUUAACUCAGCAUGAAGACUCAGUACAUGAAGGCUGAUUAAAUGAAUAUAUUUGGGUAAUACUCUGAGUCAGUGUGUUUCAGAUACUUCCCUUUCUUUGCUCCUAAACCAAGUUUCAAGUGAUGUUAUCUGAGAGUUUAUUGAAAUGGCUCAGGAUAUAAUUAUAUAUCUUAUUUAUUUUUUGGCCACACCUGGGGCAUGCAGAAGUUCUGGGCCAGGAAGCAAACUCAGACCACUGCAGUAACCAGAGCCACAGCAGUGAAAAUGCCAGGUCCUUAACCCACUGAGCCACCAGGGAACUCCCUUGUCUUCUUGACCCUACCUGAGAGAUUUGCUCUUUCCCAUUCUCUAUGCGUAGGGAAUUCCUAUCUACAAGUUCAAUUUCUGACAUUAUUUAGCUGACAAAAGUCUGUGAAGUUUAAUGUGUCUCAGACAUAGCUAGUUAAAGAUUCAUAACUGAAUUCAUGUUUACUAUGUUGUAGAGUGGAACCGAGGUCUGCGUCCCCAGACUAGAAGGGAUAAGACAAUGCAUUGCAAUGAAAUAUAGUGAUUCUAUCCUUCCAAAGACAACUUCAUAUUCAACUUAAACACCUUAUCUUUAGUGGCUAAGGACAAUCCACUUUUUUCUUGUCCCUCCCCUAACUAGGGACUUAUUCAUUCAUUCACUCACUCAACAAAUGGUUGUUGAACAUUUGCUGUGCGAUAGGAACUCUUCCAUAUUCUGGGGGGAUACAGUAUUGAACAAAACUAAGUUUAUGUUCUCAUUAAAUUAUAUUCUACUAGCAGACAACUGACCAAUAACCCAGUGAUGAUAUUAUAUAAGGCUGGUGGAGAUAAGUGCAAUGAGGAAAAACAAAGCAGGCUAUCUAGCAGAAGACUUGUUUAGAAAGCAAACUAAACUUGAAUGAAGAGAAAGUAAAACAUUAACACUUCAGGCAUCAUUCCUUCUGUACAGCUGUCCCAUGUGAAUGCCUCAGGAUUCUCAAAUGAUAUUAGUGGUGCUCAGCAAAAAUAAACAGCUUUGUGCAGAUGUAGCGACAUGUACGCAUCAUAAAGAAGGAACCAUGUCUGAGUUACAGGUUUGACUGUUCCGUGAACACCAGCCACUUACCUCAGAGAUGAGUUGAGCAGAAAUAGGCUGGUAUACUGAACUUGACACAUCCAAUUUAUUUCUUCUUCUUCUUUUGGCUUUAAGUCUGCAUUUUAAAAAUUGUGGUAAGAAACACAUAACAUAAAUUAUCCUCUUAAUUUUUAAGUGUACAGUACAGUAUUGUUAACAAUAUGCAUGUUAUUGUACAGCAGAACUCUGUAAUUUUUUACAUGUUCUACCACUAAAACUCUAUAUUUUUCGAACAGCAACUCUUCCUCCCCACGUUCCCUGGCAACCACCAUUCUACUUUCUGUUUCUGUGAGUUUGAUUAUGUUAGAUACCUCAUUUAAGUGGAAUCAUCUAGUAUUUGUCCUUUUAUGACUGGCUUAUUUCACUUUGCAUUGUGUUGUAGCAUAUCACAGGAUUUCCUCCUUUGUAAAGACUGAACAAUAUUUCAUUGGGUAUAUACACACCAUAUUUUCUUUUUUAAUUUUUUUUAAUUUAAAUGUUUUAAUUUUUAUUUUUUCCUUGUUUACCACGUUUUCUUCCUUCAUUCAUACAUCAGUGGACAUUUAGCUUACCUCUACAUUUUGGAUGGUGGAUCUAAAUUUGGAUUUGUGGAUAGUACUACAGUGGACAUGAGUAAGCAAAUAUCUCUUCGAGAUCUUGUUUCCAAUUCUCUUCUUGGGUACCAAUUUAGCCAUUCUUGAACCACUGUAUGAUGUGUUGCUCCUGAGUGAAAUGCAUGGAUCACUUUCGUAUAAUUUUCAGUGGUUUCUCCAGCCCCUCUGCACCCAGACUCUGGACAUGCAGGGGAGAAUAUAACAAAAGCUAAAACUUCUAUAAUGCUGGGCACUAUUUUAAGAACCUUGGGAGGUAGGUACUGUUAUUGCCACUCAGGGAGAAGGCUGAGGCACACAGUUAACUGGCAAAGAGAGAAAGGGGCUUGGUGUCAGGCAGAGGCUAUGCUUGUAACCUUCCUAUUGAACAAUCUCAUUUUUGCCUUCCACGUGUUCAGAACAUGGCAGUACAGGCUGAGAGACAAGGAAAUGGUUAUGUUCAAGGGUGCAGGAAUUGCUGCAGUGUAGAUGCUCAAACAGUUUGCUUUGGAAAUAUGGAGCCAAAAGCGCUGGACUCUCCAGAGUUUUGGCAGGACUUUUCUAGAGGCAGGAAAGUUUGAGUUGAAUUCUGACAGAUGAGUAGGAGGAACUGAUCAACAAAGGGACACUUAAGGAACUUUCCAAGUAAAAUAAAAUCCAUGUUUUUUCACACCUGUUUUGUGCAUACCUGCCUUCAAUUCCUGCUGUUCAAUUUGUCUGUGCUAGACUGGAUUGCAAGUAUUUUGUGUAUUGUCAUUAAUUUCUAACCCUUGUCAUUGAGGGCAAGUAUAAUUCUCAUUUUACAGAUCAGGAGACUGAUGUUCAGAGAGGUGAAGUAUGGUGCCCAAGAAUAUCCAGCCAAAGUCCAAGUCAGGUCUGUUAGACUUUCAAGCUGGUGCUCCUGACACCAGUAUAAAGGGAGGACGGAUGCACUAAAAGUCAAGCUCUUCACUCUUGGAAACCCCUGAGGGUACAGGUGCCCAGGAAAAGGUGUGGUGUGAGCUGGUCCAACUCAGCCCACUGACUGAUAAACCUGCCUGGAGCACACAGCAGAGAAGGAAAGGUUAUGAACAAGGUCAAGGUAGCAAGCUCUUUCUUUAAAGAGAAGAAAGCAGGGCCUCCUCCUCCCCCAGCCUGGCACUUCGGCACUGUGGUGGAGCAGGGUGUUUGGUUGCCUUGCAGCCACUGUUCUCCCCGUUCUAAGGUUGCAGCGCAAGGCUCUGUUCACCUGACACUAUUGAAAAGUGGAGCGAGUGAAACAGUGGCUUAUCACAAGGCACCAGAGGUCUCUUUCUGGCUGCGUUCUACCAUGCACUUGGCAUUCUGAAAGCACUUGUAGAGGGACUGCCAGAAUGCCAGCUUUUUUUUUUUUUUUAAUUCAAGGUAGGGUCAGGUUUUCUCCCCAUCCUCCCUCCCUCCACCUCCCCCAAGCUAGUAAUCACAUCACGGGGAAACCUGAGCUCACUUGUUUUUUGCUACUUGUACCUAUUUGCCUGGAAAAUACAUUUGCUGAAGAAGAAUCCGGGAGGAGCUGUGUCCUGAUUUAUUGCUCUUUCCCUGUGAAGUUUUUGCUUCUGAGAAUUCUAUUGUGUCAGAACUGGGAGGGGAUUUAGAUCUCGCUCUAAAGGGAUUGAGUCUUGGUAAUGGGAUUAACAAAGAACAUAUUCUGGUCUUUCAGGCACUGCGAUGUGGCAACUCAUUAAGGAGAACAGAGAAAGGAUGAUUUGUUAAAUUGCUUUGCUGUUUUGUGGAACUCUAAAUACUACCACAUGAUGGGCAAACUCAGAGUCUUGAGGUGUGUCGCAGGUCCUCCCCAGAACUCUGUAGCAUGUAUUCACCUCCUCAUUCCCUCACACACACAAUGGCGAGAUGCCCUUGACAAGGGGCUCAGUAAAGGAAUAAGUGUGUUUUGCCUUCGAUCUAAGUAUCCUUAGUGAUAUAGGUGCUCUGUGAAUGUGUGUCACAUUGGUGAGCUAGGUCGUAGGAAGGGGUGAGUGAUGGUGGAAAUGGGGCAACAGGCUGGCAGAGAGUGAGGAAGAAUGUGGUGCAUACUGGGAAGACAAAGCUAUCUCCUAACCUCCUUUGCUUUCUCCAUCACCAAGAAUCCCUUACAAUCCUGGCUUGAGAAAUCCAAAUGUGCUCAGUACGUUCACACAGAGGCAGACUUUUCUCUGUGCAAAAAUGGUUGGGAGCAUUUUUAGUAGAACUUAAAUGUGUUUUUACUUUGACUUCACAGAGCAACCCACACCCAAGGACAUUUUCUCUUUUGUGAGACAUCAUGUAGUUAAGCACUUGUCAGCAAUGGCCCCAGGAUGGGCUUCUUCUUGUAACGGCCCCAAAGGGUUUGAAGAGAAAGGCAUUUUUUGCUUGUUUGUUUUUAGUCUUUUUAAAAUCGUUUCUUAAGUCCAGAAACUGUUUUGGUAGACAUAGAGGAUUUUGAUAAAUACCCGGGAAAAUGAAACAAAGAUUACCUUGAUUUUAAUUAUGAAAACUAUCACUUUUAAGUGACAAAAUACAGUUAUAAGAUAUUGGGAUACAGUUAUAAGAUGUUUGUGCAUGUGUGAGAUAAUUAUAUACAUUCUUGGUGGGGUUGGACUUAACCCCUGAAUUCUAAUUCACUUGUGGUAGAGGCAUCUUUCAACAUUUUACUAAGUUGGGGUUCAGAAAAAUUUGAUACACAGUUGUACCUAAAUACC
Molecule: long non-coding RNA, 5188 nt
Filed under: Sus scrofa (pig)
Lineage: Eukaryota; Metazoa; Chordata; Mammalia; Artiodactyla; Suidae
Description: lncRNA (ENSSSCG00000055730.1)
Source: RNAcentral